GAAUAUUGGACAAUGGGCGAGAGCCUGAUCCAGCCAUGCCGCGUGCAGGAAGACUGCCCUAUGGGUUGUAAACUGCUUUUAUACAGGAAGAAACACUCCCUCGUGAGGGAGCUUGACGGUACUGUAAGAAUAA
RNAcentral lists this ribosomal RNA (133 nucleotides) under uncultured bacterium. RNAcentral's name for it is "partial 16S ribosomal RNA". It matches the Rfam family "Bacterial small subunit ribosomal RNA", at positions 359 to 489 of the family's 1533-position model. The record is from RNAcentral.